This is a long non-coding RNA of Scylla paramamosain (green mud crab), 529 nucleotides long. RefSeq lists it as uncharacterized. NCBI's taxonomy places the organism in Eukaryota, Metazoa, Arthropoda, Malacostraca, Decapoda, Portunidae. The transcript has 3 exons. The record is from RefSeq and is a predicted model, not a curated record.
CUAGCUAAAGUUCCAAUAACUUCAGAGGCCUGGGGGUGGGUGUUGAGGGGGAGAGCACAGAAUGGCGUCUCCCUUCCCUCUGGCAACAGGAGGUGGCAGGGGAUGGAAAAAGGGAUGGAUCUGUGCAGUAAUGACAUGAUGGAGGCUGCCUCAUAAGUGUUUUAGAUUAGCUGUACAGUUACUCAUCAGAUUUGUUGACAGUUUUACCACACCAAACAAGGAUCAUUAGUCUGAAAUAGUCAUUGUGAUGGAUGGCUAUGGUGCCAUGCCCCUGUACUCCACCAUCAGAUGAUGUCUCCCCCAACACAUCAUCAACUUCUGCUGCUGCCACCAACAGUGUCCAGCAGGAUCUGCAGCAGCAGGUUGAGGAACUGAAACUGCAGCAGAGGUACAUUACCAAAAAAAAAUGAAGUGUGAAGCUAAAAUUCACACUCUUAAACAGCAAUUGGCCAUUGCAGAGCACAAAAUGUGUGAGACAGAAAAGAUUACCUAGAGAAGAAAUUUAAUUUAUUAAAGCAGUUCAAGCAAA